ACUGAAAGUGCCAAGCUUCUAAUCUCUUGGUCUUUCUGGUGACCAGCCUUAUUCUGAGUCUAUCUAAGGGCACCACCCUAAGUUACCUCAUUAGGAUAAGAGCAAGGAUAAGGAUAAGAUAAGGAUGUGACUGACAAACCACACUCCUAUCACUAUGAAAUCCCAAGAGUUUGAGGAGCUUUGUGCCAGGAACCAGGGACAAAGACCACAUAUAUUUAUUAUACCACACUCACUUAACAUUAGCAAAUCCAUCAGGGCAUGCCCAGGCAUGAGUUGGCUGGAGCUUGGUUUAGCAGAGAUAAAAGUUUACAGUCAUACUCCUUCAGGAAAGAGUCUCACCCAGUGACCAGUUCCAAGGUCCAGCCUGACUCUUAGGCAAGAAUGAAGCAUAUUUCAUUUGAGCCCAUAGAUAUUUGAAAACUUUGAAACUCAGAAGAAAUCUCCCUUUCAUGGAACAUGAGGUGAGAAAGAGACUAUAUUUCACCACUUUAAAUAGCAUGCCUGUACUUCUCUGGUGGUGCAGUGGUUAAGGAUUCACCUGCCAAUGCAGGGGACACAGGUUUGAGCCCUGGUCUGAGAAGAUCCCACAUGCCAUGGAGCAAUUAAGCCAUGUAAAUCUGGACUAUGUAUCUUUGGUGAACUUUAUGUAACUUGUCACCGUGUCAUUUUGAUGAAUGAUCCUUUGUCUUGAAAAUGUAUAUAACUGUAUCACUGACCUCUAACAAGCAGAACAGUCCUCAGAAUUUUCUGAAAGACUGUCUCCCGGGUUAUAAUCCUUAUGUUGGCCUGAAUAAAAUUCUCUUUUUCUUCUUUA
This is a long non-coding RNA of Orcinus orca (killer whale), 814 nucleotides long. RefSeq lists it as uncharacterized. NCBI's taxonomy places the organism in Eukaryota, Metazoa, Chordata, Mammalia, Artiodactyla, Delphinidae. The record is from RefSeq and is a predicted model, not a curated record. The transcript is spliced from 2 exons.